GGAGAACAGUUAAUUGGCCUGUCAGACCGCACACCCUCACAGAGGUCACCUCUGACAGCUGGCCUUCCGAGACUAAGUAAACACACGAGUUGUGUGCUCAAGCAGUCAGCAAUCCUCCUGACAGGACGAGAUGCUAAGAAAACCUGCUGGAAAGGAUUGAACUACAGCUGCUGGUUUGUGCCUGCAGAAGGGACUGGACCGAAGCUGCUGGUUCGCAUUUGGUGUUUGCUACGGGACUGAACUGCUGACAAAGAAGACUGAGCUCACCCACCAAGGAAAUAUUGCUAAGACGACCCCAUAUCCUACGGACUCUUCUCUUCCACUAUCUCUGGUAGCUGGUGGGCAAGAGGAGAGAUUGAAUGUCUAUUAAAAUAGGCUGCAAAAGAUUGAUGCCUACACUUGGUUGUCUCUUCAGCGCAAUAAAAGCCCAACUAAGACACAUGGUA
Long non-coding RNA from Rattus norvegicus (Norway rat), 446 nucleotides. RefSeq lists it as uncharacterized. The record is from RefSeq and is a predicted model, not a curated record. NCBI's taxonomy places the organism in Eukaryota, Metazoa, Chordata, Mammalia, Rodentia, Muridae.